AUCCUUUUGCAGUUCAUAAGUGUAAUAAUUGAGUGUUCACAUGCAUGUGUGAGAUGUGCUACCCUCAAACCUUGUUACCAUAUCGGCACAUUACCUGUCUGACA
RNAcentral lists this small nucleolar RNA (104 nucleotides) under Carlito syrichta (Philippine tarsier). RNAcentral's name for it is "Small nucleolar RNA U13 (ENSTSYG00000035661.1)". It matches the Rfam family "Small nucleolar RNA U13". The record is from Rfam by way of RNAcentral. Lineage: Eukaryota; Metazoa; Chordata; Mammalia; Primates; Tarsiidae.